Molecule: unclassified non-coding RNA, 330 nt
Filed under: soil metagenome
Description: partial contains 5.8S ribosomal RNA, internal transcribed spacer 2, and large subunit ribosomal RNA
Rfam family: 5.8S ribosomal RNA (bases 1-120)
Source: RNAcentral
GAUGAAGAACGUAGCGAAAUGCGAUAAGUAAUGUGAAUUGCAGAAUUCAGUGAAUCAUCGAAUCUUUGAACGCACAUUGCGCCCCCUGGUAUUCCGGGGGGCAUGCCUGUUCGAGCGUCAUUUCACCACUCAAGCCUCGCUUGGUAUUGGGCAACGCGGUCCGCCGCGUGCCUCAAAUCGACCGGCUGGGUCUUCUGUCCCCUAAACGUUGUGGAAACUUUCGCUAAAGGGUGUUCGGGAGGCUACGCCGUAAAACAACCCCAUUUCUAAGGUUGACCUCGGAUCAGGUAGGGAUACCCGCUGAACUUAAGCAUAUCAAUAAGCGGAGGA